UAUUAAAAAUUUCAUCCAUUUGUACAGUUAAAAACUAACGUAAUCAACAGAAUUACCAAACAAUGACACAUGGCGUGCCAUGUGUAUCUGAUACUGACGCACAAGGAUAAACUUUUUACCGUAAAAAUUAAUGGAAUUAAAA
Molecule: microRNA precursor, 142 nt
Filed under: Gossypium arboreum
Lineage: Eukaryota; Viridiplantae; Streptophyta; Magnoliopsida; Malvales; Malvaceae
Description: MIR7502 microRNA precursor family
Rfam family: MIR7502 microRNA precursor family
Source: Rfam by way of RNAcentral